AAUACCGCAUAACGUCGCAAGACCAAAGAGGGGGACCUUCGGGCCUCUUGCCAUCGGAUGUGCCCAGAUGGGAUUAGCUAGUAGGUGGGGUAACGGCUCACCUAGGCGACGAUCCCUAGCUGGUCUGAGAGGAUGACCAGCCACACUGGAACUGAGACACGGUCCAGACUCCUACGGGAGGCAGCAGUGGGGAAUAUUGCACAAUGGGCGCAAGCCUGAUGCAGCCAUGCCGCGUGUAUGAAGAAGGCCUUCGGGUUGUAAAGUACUUUCAGCGGGGAGGAAGGGAGUAAAGUUAAUACCUUUGCUCAUUGACGUUACCCGCAGAAGAAGCACCGGCUAACUCCGUGCCAGCAGCCGCGGUAAUACGGAGGGUGCAAGCGUUAAUCGGAAUUACUGGGCGUAAAGCGCACGCAGGCGGUUUGUUAAGUCAGAUGUGAAAUCCCCGGGCUCAACCUGGGAACUGCAUCUGAUACUGGCAAGCUUGAGUCUCGUAGAGGG
RNAcentral lists this ribosomal RNA (498 nucleotides) under Escherichia coli. Its description in RNAcentral is "bacterial SSU rRNA". It matches the Rfam family "Bacterial small subunit ribosomal RNA", at positions 165 to 658 of the family's 1533-position model. Lineage: Bacteria; Pseudomonadati; Pseudomonadota; Gammaproteobacteria; Enterobacterales; Enterobacteriaceae. The record is from RNAcentral.